Non-coding RNA from Chelonoidis abingdonii (Abingdon island giant tortoise), 101 nucleotides. The record is from RefSeq and is a predicted model, not a curated record. NCBI's taxonomy places the organism in Eukaryota, Metazoa, Chordata, Testudines, Testudinidae.
CUUUAGACCUAAGGGUGAACCAUUCAAGAACAAUGUUUGCUGAUGAUGUUUUAAAGAAAGUCACACCAGUGAACUGGUGGAAGUCACUUAAGGACUUGGAU